This 2904-nucleotide ribosomal RNA is filed under the name Escherichia coli. Its description in RNAcentral is "23S ribosomal RNA". It matches the Rfam family "Bacterial large subunit ribosomal RNA". The record is from RNAcentral. Lineage: Bacteria; Pseudomonadati; Pseudomonadota; Gammaproteobacteria; Enterobacterales; Enterobacteriaceae.
GGUUAAGCGACUAAGCGUACACGGUGGAUGCCCUGGCAGUCAGAGGCGAUGAAGGACGUGCUAAUCUGCGAUAAGCGUCGGUAAGGUGAUAUGAACCGUUAUAACCGGCGAUUUCCGAAUGGGGAAACCCAGUGUGUUUCGACACACUAUCAUUAACUGAAUCCAUAGGUUAAUGAGGCGAACCGGGGGAACUGAAACAUCUAAGUACCCCGAGGAAAAGAAAUCAACCGAGAUUCCCCCAGUAGCGGCGAGCGAACGGGGAGGAGCCCAGAGCCUGAAUCAGUAUGUGUGUUAGUGGAAGCGUCUGGAAAGGCGCGCGAUACAGGGUGACAGCCCCGUACACAAAAAUGCACAUGCUGUGAGCUCGAUGAGUAGGGCGGGACACGUGGUAUCCUGUCUGAAUAUGGGGGGACCAUCCUCCAAGGCUAAAUACUCCUGACUGACCGAUAGUGAACCAGUACCGUGAGGGAAAGGCGAAAAGAACCCCGGCGAGGGGAGUGAAAAAGAACCUGAAACCGUGUACGUACAAGCAGUGGGAGCACGCUUAGGCGUGUGACUGCGUACCUUUUGUAUAAUGGGUCAGCGACUUAUAUUCUGUAGCAAGGUUAACCGAAUAGGGGAGCCGAAGGGAAACCGAGUCUUAACUGGGCGUUAAGUUGCAGGGUAUAGACCCGAAACCCGGUGAUCUAGCCAUGGGCAGGUUGAAGGUUGGGUAACACUAACUGGAGGACCGAACCGACUAAUGUUGAAAAAUUAGCGGAUGACUUGUGGCUGGGGGUGAAAGGCCAAUCAAACCGGGAGAUAGCUGGUUCUCCCCGAAAGCUAUUUAGGUAGCGCCUCGUGAAUUCAUCUCCGGGGGUAGAGCACUGUUUCGGCAAGGGGGUCAUCCCGACUUACCAACCCGAUGCAAACUGCGAAUACCGGAGAAUGUUAUCACGGGAGACACACGGCGGGUGCUAACGUCCGUCGUGAAGAGGGAAACAACCCAGACCGCCAGCUAAGGUCCCAAAGUCAUGGUUAAGUGGGAAACGAUGUGGGAAGGCCCAGACAGCCAGGAUGUUGGCUUAGAAGCAGCCAUCAUUUAAAGAAAGCGUAAUAGCUCACUGGUCGAGUCGGCCUGCGCGGAAGAUGUAACGGGGCUAAACCAUGCACCGAAGCUGCGGCAGCGACGCUUAUGCGUUGUUGGGUAGGGGAGCGUUCUGUAAGCCUGUGAAGGUGUACUGUGAGGUAUGCUGGAGGUAUCAGAAGUGCGAAUGCUGACAUAAGUAACGAUAAAGCGGGUGAAAAGCCCGCUCGCCGGAAGACCAAGGGUUCCUGUCCAACGUUAAUCGGGGCAGGGUGAGUCGACCCCUAAGGCGAGGCCGAAAGGCGUAGUCGAUGGGAAACAGGUUAAUAUUCCUGUACUUGGUGUUACUGCGAAGGGGGGACGGAGAAGGCUAUGUUGGCCGGGCGACGGUUGUCCCGGUUUAAGCGUGUAGGCUGGUUUUCCAGGCAAAUCCGGAAAAUCAAGGCUGAGGCGUGAUGACGAGGCACUACGGUGCUGAAGCAACAAAUGCCCUGCUUCCAGGAAAAGCCUCUAAGCAUCAGGUAACAUCAAAUCGUACCCCAAACCGACACAGGUGGUCAGGUAGAGAAUACCAAGGCGCUUGAGAGAACUCGGGUGAAGGAACUAGGCAAAAUGGUGCCGUAACUUCGGGAGAAGGCACGCUGAUAUGUAGGUGAGGUCCCUCGCGGAUGGAGCUGAAAUCAGUCGAAGAUACCAGCUGGCUGCAACUGUUUAUUAAAAACACAGCACUGUGCAAACACGAAAGUGGACGUAUACGGUGUGACGCCUGCCCGGUGCCGGAAGGUUAAUUGAUGGGGUCAGCGCAAGCGAAGCUCUUGAUCGAAGCCCCGGUAAACGGCGGCCGUAACUAUAACGGUCCUAAGGUAGCGAAAUUCCUUGUCGGGUAAGUUCCGACCUGCACGAAUGGCGUAAUGAUGGCCAGGCUGUCUCCACCCGAGACUCAGUGAAAUUGAACUCGCUGUGAAGAUGCAGUGUACCCGCGGCAAGACGGAAAGACCCCGUGAACCUUUACUAUAGCUUGACACUGAACAUUGAGCCUUGAUGUGUAGGAUAGGUGGGAGGCUUUGAAGUGUGGACGCCAGUCUGCAUGGAGCCGACCUUGAAAUACCACCCUUUAAUGUUUGAUGUUCUAACGUUGACCCGUAAUCCGGGUUGCGGACAGUGUCUGGUGGGUAGUUUGACUGGGGCGGUCUCCUCCUAAAGAGUAACGGAGGAGCACGAAGGUUGGCUAAUCCUGGUCGGACAUCAGGAGGUUAGUGCAAUGGCAUAAGCCAGCUUGACUGCGAGCGUGACGGCGCGAGCAGGUGCGAAAGCAGGUCAUAGUGAUCCGGUGGUUCUGAAUGGAAGGGCCAUCGCUCAACGGAUAAAAGGUACUCCGGGGAUAACAGGCUGAUACCGCCCAAGAGUUCAUAUCGACGGCGGUGUUUGGCACCUCGAUGUCGGCUCAUCACAUCCUGGGGCUGAAGUAGGUCCCAAGGGUAUGGCUGUUCGCCAUUUAAAGUGGUACGCGAGCUGGGUUUAGAACGUCGUGAGACAGUUCGGUCCCUAUCUGCCGUGGGCGCUGGAGAACUGAGGGGGGCUGCUCCUAGUACGAGAGGACCGGAGUGGACGCAUCACUGGUGUUCGGGUUGUCAUGCCAAUGGCACUGCCCGGUAGCUAAAUGCGGAAGAGAUAAGUGCUGAAAGCAUCUAAGCACGAAACUUGCCCCGAGAUGAGUUCUCCCUGACUCCUUGAGAGUCCUGAAGGAACGUUGAAGACGACGACGUUGAUAGGCCGGGUGUGUAAGCGCAGCGAUGCGUUGAGCUAACCGGUACUAAUGAACCGUGAGGCUUAACCUU